Molecule: ribosomal RNA, 307 nt
Filed under: uncultured Plesiocystis sp.
Lineage: Bacteria; Pseudomonadati; Myxococcota; Nannocystales; Nannocystaceae
Description: bacterial SSU rRNA
Rfam family: Bacterial small subunit ribosomal RNA
Source: RNAcentral
AGCGAACGUUUGCGGCGGGCCUAACACAUGCAAGUCGGACGAGAAUCACUUCGGUGAGGACAGUGGCGCACGGGUGCGUAACACGUGGAUAACCAACCCCUUGGUUCGGGACAACACUGGGAAACCGGUGCUAAUACCGGAUGUGUCGUGGAGUUCAUCAGGACACCUCGAGAAAGGUCCGCAAGGAUUGCCAAGGGACGGGUCCGCGUCCCAUCAGCUAGAUGGUGAGGUAAUGGCUCACCAUGGCGAAGACGGGUAGCUGGUCUGAGAGGAUGAUCAGCCACACUGGAACUGAGACACGGUCCAG